GAGAAAUAAUGAGUGGAGAUUAAGGAAAUCAGAAUUUUGGGAAGGAUAAAGUGAGUGUAAUAAGUGGUUAGUGGGUAUUAAUGAGGGGUGGGGCCCACACAAAAUCCAAAAUUUUCAAAAAAAAUUCAAAUCCACAGGCCUGACACGGGCAGGCGUGUCAGGCCACUGUCUCUUCACUUUCAUGGGCAUGGUCUUCAGUACUCCUAACACGGGCGGCCGUGUCAG
RNAcentral lists this long non-coding RNA (225 nucleotides) under Lathyrus oleraceus (garden pea). Its description in RNAcentral is "Pisum sativum (pea) long non-coding RNA (PSAT_LNC018136)". The record is from RNAcentral. Lineage: Eukaryota; Viridiplantae; Streptophyta; Magnoliopsida; Fabales; Fabaceae.